GGUACCGUCGUUGAUUGAUGAAAAGUGCUAAGUUAAUCAACUUCAAACUAAAUCCGAACGCGUAAGAUUAACGCAAAUGACAAAUUAGAUCACUAAUUAGCCCUUGCUUAAUCAGGUAAUUAAGAUCCAUUACUAUACAGCAGAUGUGUGCAUGUGAGAGAGAGACCAGCACUUGUUACAGAAUGUUUACUGUAACACGAUGGCUUGACAAGAGAAAGUGCUCCUCAGUAAUUUCUAACUAUUAGUGCUGACAGCUUGCAGACUUCCUGCCAGAGAAGACCCAGGUGUGUGUGUAGUGUGUACCAUUCUGACAGUAGAUAGCAGGAAUUAAGUACAGUAAGCUUUACUGAUUUACUACUCUAACAAGCAGACAGCAUUAAAGGCAGACAUGAUGUAUUUUACAAGGAGAGGGUCAGCCAGGUAAAUUAACUAUAUAAGAAGCAGACAUCAUGUUGUGUAGAUGGUUUCAAAGACAACCCGGAAAGCACAUGCAGCCAUAUUAAAGUCAUCAAAUUGUCUGUUGGAAACAGAAACCAGCUUCAACAAAUCACUACAACAGAUCCAUGCAGUAAUUCUACUGAUGUAGUCUUAAAUAAAUGACUCAUUAAAUUAAACCAGAAUUUUUUUUUCUCAGUGGCACACUUUUUGUUUUCUAGACUUAAAAUAAGAAACAGCAACUACCAUUUCUAUUGGCAGACAUCUUAUAUAUUAUGUGUUAAUUUUUUUGUUUUCAAAUUCUCUGUGUGGAAACCAAGGAAUUUGAAGUGGAAUAGGUAGUAACACUACACCCUAGGGGAUAGCUCCCUGGUAGACAUUGGUCUCCAAAUUUCCAUGGUAAACCCAAUUCCUUUCUGUUUUUUAAAAAAAUGAAUGUAAUAGAAACAUUUGUCAGACCUGCAGCCAAGACACCCUUCUUGAUGAAAACCAAAUACUAUAGACCUACCUAUGUACACAGUUUUCUAAAGAUAUAUUUAAAACAUCUUUAUCUGAAGAAUGUCGAGAAGCUAUUUCUUUUCUGGUCCUUUUAAAGCCCAAAUGUGAGAAUAAAGGUUAACAAGUCAGUUUAAAACCAUACACAAUAAACAUAAUUUUUAUUUUAAACAUUUGGUCUAAAAACUAUUAUUCUUAUAGUUCUUAACUGUUGGUAUGCAACCUUAUAUACUUACUAUGCUUAAAAAAAUAUACAUCAAGAUGUCUGCACGUUUUACAAGACUGGUAAAAUAUCAAAUAAAAACAUGUUCCCUAGCUAUUGUCAUAUACUCCCUUUACUAAACCAACUUAUUCAUAUUAUUAAGGAAUAGUGGUCUGAAGCCUUCUUGAGUUCUUUGUGUUAAUAGAGUUACUUCCCUUGAUUAAUAAAAGGCUUUGAUCCUAGAUGGAAUUCUGGGAUGGAGUGAAAUGGAAGAUGGCUGUUUUUAAUUAGCUCUUCUGAUUGUCAUAAACAAUCCAGGCCAUCUUGUGGCCUAUACACCCCAAUACCACAUGGUGGAG
Long non-coding RNA from Patella vulgata (common limpet), 1491 nucleotides. RefSeq lists it as uncharacterized. The transcript has 5 exons. The record is from RefSeq and is a predicted model, not a curated record. NCBI's taxonomy places the organism in Eukaryota, Metazoa, Mollusca, Gastropoda, Patellidae.